Molecule: unclassified non-coding RNA, 496 nt
Filed under: Sarocladium implicatum
Lineage: Eukaryota; Fungi; Ascomycota; Sordariomycetes; Hypocreales; Sarocladiaceae
Description: sequence contains 18S rRNA gene, ITS1, 5.8S rRNA gene and ITS2
Rfam family: 5.8S ribosomal RNA (bases 125-278)
Source: RNAcentral
UCCCUCGGCGGGCUCAGCGCGCGGCGGUCCUCCCGGGCCCCGCGCGUCCGCCGGGGGCCAGCAAACUCGAAUUUACUACGUGUAUCUCUGAGGGGCGAAAGCCCGUAAAACAAAAAUGAAUCAAAACUUUCAACAACGGAUCUCUUGGCUCUGGCAUCGAUGAAGAACGCAGCGAAAUGCGAUAAGUAAUGUGAAUUGCAGAAUUCAGUGAAUCAUCGAAUCUUUGAACGCACAUUGCGCCCGCCAGCACUCUGGCGGGCAUGCCUGUCCGAGCGUCAUUUCAACCCUCAGGCCCCCCGUCCGCGGGGAACCGGCCUGGCGUUGGGGCUCAGCGGCCUUCACCGGCCCCUGUCCCCGAAAUUCAGUGGCGGUCGCGCCGCAGCCUCCCCUGCGUAGUAGCACACCUCGCACCGGAGAGCGGCACGGCCACGCCGUAAAACCCCCCAGUUUUACCAAGGUUGACCUCGGAUCAGGUAGGAAUACCCGCUGAACUUAA